CCUACGGGUGGCAGCAGUGAGGAAUAUUGGUCAAUGGGCGCAAGCCUGAACCAGCCAAGUCGCGUGAGGGAAGAAGGCCCUACGGGUUGUAAACCUCUUUUGCCGGGGAGCAAGACUGAGGACGUGUGCCCAGGCGGAGAGUACCCGGAGAAAAAGCAUCGGCUAACUACGUGCCAGCAGCCGCGGUAAUACGGAGGAUGCGAGCGUUAUCCGGAUUUAUUGGGUUUAAAGGGUGCGCAAGCGGGCGGUUAAGCCGGCGGUAAAAAUUCAGGGCUCAACCUUGUCGGGCCGUCGCAACUGGGAGCCUUGAGUGGGCGAGAAGUAUGCGGAAUGCGUGGUGUAGCGGUGAAAUGCAUAGAUAUCACGCAGAACGCCGAUUGCGAAGGCAGCAUACCGGCGCCCUACUGACGCUGAGGCACGAAAGCGUGGGGAUCGAACAGGAUUAGAUACCCCUGUAGUC
This 460-nucleotide ribosomal RNA is filed under the name uncultured bacterium. RNAcentral describes it as "partial 16S ribosomal RNA". It matches the Rfam family "Bacterial small subunit ribosomal RNA", at positions 338 to 795 of the family's 1533-position model. The record is from RNAcentral.